This 36348-nucleotide long non-coding RNA is filed under the name Triticum aestivum (bread wheat). RNAcentral describes it as "long non-coding RNA (TAES_LNC012928)". The record is from RNAcentral. Lineage: Eukaryota; Viridiplantae; Streptophyta; Magnoliopsida; Poales; Poaceae.
AGAUGGGAUGGGCAUACUAAGUAGUAACUACGUACAAUAUAUGAAUACUGAGAUCAAAGAAAUGAUAGGCUAUUUUUUUCCUGCCGAAUGUCCUUAUUUUUGCCAGGCAAUGCUCAUGAAUGAUGGUAAAAGAAUCGAGGAAAUCAAAUUGCUCUGUUUUAAAUAGCACUCCAACCCUUCUCCACAUUCACUUGUGCCUUCCUCAUGGUCCAUGCGCUGAGCUGUGGCACCCUCACCGUGGCACUUCCAUUGUUGAAGGCAUACAUGUGGGCCCUGCCAACAUCGGCGAGCACCGCUGGAUAAACUCUGGACGUGAUGCAAACCCUACCACCACCACCGAAGCUCUCCACCGCCGACCGAUCAAUCUGCAAGGCAGCAUCCAUCCAUCCAUUUUCAACUCUGACAUAUAGGAAGUGAAUAAAAGGAGAAAUAGCAGAGCCUCCUUAGCUUACCAGAGUUCUGAGAGAUAUCUUCCUCUCCUUUGCAAGAUCAAGUUCAAAGAAGCCUCCAUAGGCUGGUGUGUACCGUGAUGGUCUGAUGGAAGACCUGUGCAAAGAAAAGAAAAAAAAUCAAUUCAGUUUUCGGACUUUUAUGGAGAAGACUAGGCAAAAUUAAGUAAAAAAACAUAAGCACUGACCUUCUUAAAUCAGAGCACAUGAGUAUCAUGUACUUUUGCUGUGACUUGUAGACUCUGAAGUGCACGACAGUGUGCUCAUCCAUGUUGUUGGAGGCCAGAAUAACAAGUCCAAAUGGCCCUAUACCACCAUGAACCGAUGCACCGGCUUCACAGCAAUGCUUCUCAGGGUCCAAAAGCCAGGAAGGAUUAAAAGGUUCGGCGGCAUUGAUGGACGUCAGCUCAAAAUAUAUCUCCACAUCAGCCUGUUUCAAGAAAACUUGUGCCUGAUUAGCUACAGUUGUUCUUAAAAAUACACUGACACACCAAAGCUUCAGAAUAUAUACCUAUCCUUCUCCUGAAAAAUGCACUAUACAAAUAAUUAGUAAUUAUCAGAAGGCCCUACAGUUCUUACUGGCAUGACACUUGUCGAAAUAACAUAAAUUCUCCUGAAGACCAAGUAAGCCUGUCUGUGAAAAGGAAACUACCUGAAAAGUGUCAACUCCAUUGAUCUCAAACAUAUCUCCCUUGUUGAGCUCAAGUCCUUGAUGGUUGAUUUCAUUUGUUCGAAGGGACUCAAUCUCAUCAACUGGCCAUUGCAGCAACUGCUUGCCAUUGCUGUCUAGCCAAAUCGUCCUGGGGAUUGUCUAAACAUAAUAGAAAUUGAGCUUAAAUAUGUUACAUUGAUUUGCUAAAUCAAUUAAAUCAUUAUUCCAAUAUGAUUUGAAGCACAGCCAAUUAGGGGCGGAUUUGCUUACAUGGAUUCCUGCCCAACCUUUUGCAACAUCGUCUGAACGACAAUCUGCUUCCUUAGACCAACCCCAUAUGAUCCUCCUGCCCUUUUUCGAGUCGAAGAAUGACUUCGAAGCAUAGAAAUUGCCGUAAUCGAUCUUCAACCACAGCCGACAGUCAUCUACGAUAGUAUCUGGCACAAAGGCAUCACGUUUGAGAUCAUACACCCCAAUCAAGUACUUAUCAAAGUAACCCACGCUCAUUUUGAGGGCAUGCUUGGUUCCUCUUAAGAUUGCUGCGGACAUGUCCAGUCCAGUGUUAUUGCCUGGCAAUACCGCAAAGAAAUCAAGGCACUCCCACAUAUUGCACUCCACAAUAUUGGAUAAGUUCUGUGAAUACAGUGGGUGAUCAACUCUUGUCCAACUAAGAAAGUCUUCACUCUUGUACAAAAGUGCAGCAGUGUAGCUUUUCAGCUCAGCACCAACUGCUAUUCUCCACAGUCCAUCUGGUCCGAUCCAACCGGUCGUCGGAUCCCUGAAUUGGCUUCUGUUCAAACCUGGUACUACCGGUUGGAUCACUGGGUUAUUGCCGGUUUUGGUCCAUUCUCUUAGGUAUGGGUCAGACGGGUUCUUGGGAUGCACAAGGUUUUGGACCUGACACUUGUCUCUGCUGCCACCGGUGUAUAAGAUGACCGGUUGACCACCAGACAGAAUUGUGGCUGAACCGGUCCAGCAGCCAUCUAUGUCACUGGGGUUAUCCGGUUCUAUCACGGGUUCAAGCUGGAUCCAGUUGACAAGGUCUGUCGAAACCGAAUGGCCCCAAGUUAUGUCACCCCAACACCAGAGGGCGCAGUGGGGGUUAUACUGGUAGAAAUUAUGGUAGAUGCCUUUGUAGUACAUUAGUCCUGAAAUAUUUAUAAAGGAAGUAUAAGUUGUAGAAUACUGCAACUCCUUUUUUGUUUAGAGGUGUUUGUGCCUGAGAUACUCAUACCACAUGGAUCUUCCGUGUCGUCGUAGAUUUCCAAGUAUCGCCAAUCCAUCAGAUAUUUGGAAAAAAGUGAGAGAAUGUCAGUUUCAUGCAACAGAUAUAGAAUGAUCCAUGUGGCCAGUUAUGGAAGGGAAAAGCGUCAUACUUUGCCUGACUGAAUUUGGUCUGGCCAAAAGUAACACUGACGGUGGAGCAAAUAUGGACAAUAUGGAAGUGGCAUAAAUCUUGGCGAGAAGGUACAUAGCACUAUUUCUGCAACGAAUACUUCUAUUUAUUUUGCGCAAGCAUCUAUGGCUAUCAUCAUCUUAUGGCAGUAUUACUCAAAGUCUAACAGCAGCAUUCAGCAAGAGACUUGCACAAGCAAUGAGCUGGCCACCAAACUUCUCCAUCGUCUCCAUUCAUUUUUGACACAAAAACGGCAGUUCUGUAAUGAUAAUACUGCCAAAAAUAUUAUGUACUUUAACAAGCAUAUUAUUUAAUACUGGCACACAAAAUUAAGAUUGAGUAGUGUGUUCAACUUGGCUUCUCCACGUGGGCAAGCCACUAAACAAUGAGGUCACAUGAUUUUUCAUGGACCAAGAACAAGAAAAAACACACGAAAGCAGAGUGGCAUACACCAACAGAUGAUCCAGAAAGCAGAGAUGAAUGAAGCCUAAAGGAAAUAAAUAGAGAGGAAACCAAACCAGAGACAUGAUCACAUGAACAUACCAUUGAUCCAGUUCCUGGGAGGCUGGAAGUGGUAGGCAGUCCUGUACCUCGUGCUGACAAUAUAGGGGACCUCUGGAGACUGGGGACAGGGGGAGAUCUCUGGAGACAGUGGACAGAAGGAGACCUCUGGAGACUGUGGACAGAGGGAGCAUCUCCCUCCACUCCCAUUGCUGCUGCUGUUGGAGAAGAAGAGGUUGGGUACAGAGGAGGAGAGGAAGAAGAGGGCAGGGAGGAGGACGAAGACCCAAGGUAGCGCCAUGGUGACAAAAGGAAUGAGAGAGUGAGGAGAGAGGAGAAGAGAUCAAGGAUUUAUGCGGGGGUGUUGUGACAUGUGAAGGCGGCGUCGUUUAAGGAGCUGUUUAGUUAGGUGACACUCAAGAGUCUCUUUCAGAUAGAUUUUUCUGGGGGGGCCUCCGGAGAGUGUGGACAGUCUGGACAGAGGAGGAAUCUCCCUCUUUGCUGCUGCAGAGGAAGAGGCUGCAGGAGGAGGAGGAGAGCAGCGGGGCCGGCGUGGGCUCAAGGUAUUCAUCGCCAUGCUGGAAGAGGCGGUGCCCCGGUUUAGAGAGGAGAUGGAGGAAACGCCAUGGCAGAGAAUGACCACACCGAGACGGGUGCGGUGCGUGUGGGCGGCACACGGGGGCAUAAAGUGCCCGGUCGGCUGGACUUAGCGCCAGUGGGGGAGCCAGGAUUGGCCGCCGCCCCAGGCGAGAAACUAAUGGUCAAAAAACACCUACAACCCAAUUUUAAGGCAUACAAAAGUCAAACUAUGUUGCAUGACAAACCAGAUCUGAAACACAAUAUUCAUGGCAGUAUUUGUUCAAUGAUGGUUCAACUCAUAUAGUAAAACAUAUAAAAAAUGAUAUAUUGAUCUGAGCUUACCAUGAGUACAUCUUCAAUUGUAGAAAAAGAUAAGCCUUCAAUGAUUUGAAAUGCAAAUCAGUACAUCUUCAAUAGACAUAAUACGAGGAAGUUUAUCAAUUGUCUGAGUUAAAGGACCUGUUCCCGUGGCUCCCGAGGUCUGAACUUGAAAAACAGAAUGUCACUGUCUUGUUUCUCUUACUCAUUUAGCCUUCCUGUAAAAUUACAUAGAAACAAAAGUGCUAAAUCGGUUUCAACAUUUACAAAACUGCAGAAUUACAAGACUAAGGGAAGGAAACAACAUCGAAUUUCAACCAAGUUACCAAACAGUGGCAUUUGCUAGCGGGAUUGAGAUGAGCAGCAGGGAUACCUUGGCUUUGCGUGCGAGCUGCCGUGGCGGAAUUGGACUGGGCGCCGGGCGCCGGGGUUGCUCCUCUCCUCGAGACCUGGACUGGACGAACAGGGUGAUCGCCGCCUCGCCGGGGCAGCAGCCUGCAGAGGAAGCUGUCAACCAAGAUUCCAGGAAGGAGAAGGGGAGGACUGGACUGCCCUCAGCCGCACGGGGCUGGCCGGCUGGGCAUGGCGAACGGAUAAUGGGUAGGCCGCGGCGGGGCACGGCGGCCGGCGGCGAGCGUGUGGCGGCAGGCAGGCGGUAGCCCAGGCAGGGUAGGGUUAUUUUCUUUCUCGUCAGAGUACUCGCGCAGGCGCAGCCGCACGGUCGCACUGCUUUCCUUUUUUUGAUCACUGUGUAUUAUUGGGCUGAGUCUCAGGUCCAGCUAGGAUUAGAAGUGGGCUGCGCCCCAGGCCGAAUUCCUGUUUUCUAGAUAUAGGGCUGGGCAGACUCAAGAAAAAAAAGAUAUAGGGCUGGGAAAAUUUCUGACGGAUCAGGCCAUUGCCUGGGCCCAGCUCCACCGUUGCUUAGCGCCGUAGCCGUGGUUGAACGCGACGCCGUACCGCGUCGGCAGAAUGGAGCCGAGGUGGAGCACCAUGAGCGGCACUGCGUGCCUGGCGGCGAGCGCGUCGAGAGCUUUGGCGGCCUGGAGUGGGGAGACUGACCUGAAGAUGUUCGACGGAAUGCCGCACUAAGGUAUUCCCACUUGACCCUAAAAAAAAGUAUUCCCACUUGACCCGGCAUAUCGCAAAAUAUAUCAUCAUAAAAAAAAAUCUAUAUCUAUACAUAAUUCCAUCUCCACCUAAUAAUAAAAAACUACUACUUCCGUUCAUCCGUCUUAAAAUUACCUCUGAAGUUGACACAAAUUAUCCACUAUGCCACCUAUAAGUGGAAAAGCAAUCCGCUCCGCUACAUGGACCUUUUUUGGGUUUAUAUACUGUGUGAUCCCUAACUAAACACAACAACACAACCAGCCCACUAGCCAGAUCCUUACUCCACCACCCAGAUGACCUGAUUUCAACCGUAGCCCCUCUUCUUUUUCUUUUUCACUUCUCCUUUAUUUAAAUUCAAAUACUUUUAAAAAUAUUUAUAUCUUUUUAACCCUAACUCCAAAUCUAACAUGUUGUAUGUGAAAAUCGCUCAGAAAAAUAUGUAGAUUUCGAAUAUGCUAUUAUCUUGCAUGUUACUCAUUUCUAGAAUAAAGCUUAUGAUGCAACCUUAAUUACUUCUCUAUAUAGGGUAUUUUAGAAAUGCCUAUUACAUAUGUAUCCUAUCCCAUUUAACUUGAGUAGAUAUGAUUGUUUAAUGCUCUCACAAAAGAUAGUAUUGGCACUAUAAGGGGUGUUGAUUCCUACUAGCUACCAUAUGCUAAAGCUUACAAUUGGUACAUAGUCAUUCGAUUUCCUAUCGCGUUGUGACGCCCGCGAUUUAAUCGUACACUAAUCAUGCACGCAAACGUGUACGAUCAAGAUCAGGGACUCACGGGAAGAUAUCACAACACAACUCUAAAAACAUAAAUAAGUCAUACAAGCAUCAUAAUACAAGCCAGGGGCCUCGAGAGCUUGAAUACAAGUGCUGAUCAUAGACGAGUCAGCGGAAGCAACAAUAUCUGAGUACAAACAUAAGUUAAACAAGUUUGCCUUAAGAAGGCUAGCACAAACUGGGAUACAGAUCAAAAGAGGCGCAGACCUCCUGCCUGGGAUCCUCCUAAACUACUCCUGGUCGUCGUCAGCGGCCUGCACGUAGUAGUAGGCACCUCCAGUGUAGUAGGAGUCGUCGUCGAUGGUGGCGUCUGGCUCCUGGGCUCCAGCAUCUGGUUGCGACAACCGAGAGGAAAAGAAAGGGGGAAAAGCAACCGUGAGUACUCAUCCAAAGUACUCGCAAGCAAGGAUCUACACUACAUAUGCAUGGGUAUCUGCGUAAAGGGGCAAUAUCGGUGGACUGAACUGCAGAAUGCCAGAAUAAGAGGGGGUACCUAGUCCAGUCAAAGACUACGCUUCUGGCAGCCUCCAUCUUGCAGCAUGUAGAAGAGAGUAGAUGGUAAGUUCACCAAGUAGCAUCGUAUAGCAUAAUCCUACCCGGCAUCCCCUCCUCGUCGCCCUAUGAGAGAGUGACCACCGGGUUGUAUCUGGCACUUGAAAGGGUGUGUUUUAUUAAGUAUCCGGUUCUAGUUGUCAUAAGGUCAAGGUACAACUCCGGGUCGCCUGUUACUGUGACACGGCUAUUCGAAUAGAUCAACUUCCCUGCAGGGGUGUGUUGGGGAACGUAGCAAUAAUUCAAAAUUUUCCUACGUGUCACCAAGAUCAAUCUAGGAGAUGCUAGCAACGAGAGAGAGGAAGUGCAUCUUCAUACCCUUGAAGAUCGCUAAGCGGAAGCGUUACAAGAACGCGGUUGAUGGAGUCGUACUCGCGGCGAUUCAAAUCGCGGAAGAUCCGAUCUAGCGCCGAACGGACGGCGCCUCCGCGUUCAACACACGUACAGCCCGGGGACGUCUCCUCCUUCUUGAUCCAGCAAGGGGAGAUGAGAAGUUGAGGGAGAACUCCAGCAGCACGACGGCGUGGUGGCAAUGGAGCUCGUGGUUCUCCGGCAGAGCUUCGCUAAGCACUACGGAGGAGCAGGAGGAGUUGGAGGAGGAGAGGGCUGCGCCAGGCCAGGGGGUGCGGUGCCCUCCCACCCCCCUCUAUUUAUAGGGGCAAGGGAGAGGGGGGCCGGCCCCCUCCAGAUGGAUCUAGAGGGGGCGGCGGCCAAGGGGGGAGGCUUGCCCCCCAAGCCAAGGGGGGCGCCCCCUUUAGGGUUUCCCCCAACCCUAGGCGCAUGGACCCUAGGGGGGUUUGGUGCCCAGCCCACCUAGGGGCUGGUUCCCCUCUAUAUUCAGCCCAUAGGGCCCUCCGGGGCAGCUGGACCCUCCUGGUGGACCCCCGGAACCCUUUCGGUGGUCCCGGUACAAUACCGAUAUACCCCCGAACACUUCCGGCGACCGAAUAAGGACUUCCCAUAUAUAAAUCUUCAUCUCCGGACCAUUCCGGAACUCCUCGUGACGUCCGGGAUCUCAUCCGGGACUCUGAACAACCUUCGGUAACCACAUACUAUUUCCCAUAACAACUCUAGCGUCACCGAACCUUAAGUGUGUAGACCCUACGGGUUCGGGAACCAUGCAGACAUGACCGAGACACCUCUCCGGCCAAUAGCCAUAUUGGCUCCCACAUGUCCCACGAUGAUCUCAUCGGAUGAACCACGAUGUCGGGGAUUCAAUCAAUCCCGUAUACAAUUCCCUUUGUCCAUCGGUAUGUUACUUGCCCGAGAUUCGAUCGUCGGUAUCCCAAUACCUCGUUCAAUCUCGUUACCGGCAAGUCUCUUUACUCGUUCCGUAACGCAUGAUCCCGUGGCUAACUCAUUAGUCACAUUGAGCUCAUUAUGAUGAUGCAUUACCGAGUGGGCCCAGAGAUACCUCUCCGUCAUACGGAGUGACAAAUCCCAAUCUCGAUUCGUGCCAACCCAACAGACACUUUCGGAGAUACCUGUAAUGCACCUUUAUAGCCACCCAGUUACGUUGUGACAUUUGGUACACCCAAAGCAUUCCUACGGUAUCCGGGAGUUGCACAAUCCCAUGGUCUAAGGAAACGAUACUUGACAUUAGAAAAGCACUUAGCAAACGAACUACACGAUCUUGUGCUAUGCUUAGGAUUGGGUCUUGUCCAUCACAUCAUUCUCCUGAUGAUGUGAUCCCGUUAUCAAUGACAUCCAAUGUCCAUGGUCAGGAAACCAUAACCAUCUAUUGAUCAACGAGCUAGUCAACUAGAGGCUUACUAGGGACAUGUUGUGGUCUAUGUAUUCACACAUGUAUUACGGUUUCCAGUUAAUACAAUUAUAGCAUGAACAAUAGACAAUUAUCAUGAACAAGGAAAUAUAAUAAUAACCAUUUUAUUAUUGCCUCUAGGGCAUAUUUCCAACAGUCUCCCACUUGCACUAGAGUCAAUAAUCUAGUUCACAUCACUAUGUGAUUGUAAUGAAUCCAACACCCAUGGGGUUUGUUCAUAUCUCGCUUGUGAGAGAGGUUAUUAGUCAACGGGUCUGAACCUUUCAGAUCCGUGUGUGCUUUACAAAUCUCUAUGUCAUCUUGUAGAUGCAGCUACCACACGCUACUUGGAGCUAUUCCAAAUAACUGCUCUACUAUACGAAUCCGGUUUACUACUCAGAGUCAUCCGGAUUAGUGUCAAAGUUUGUAUCGACGUAACCCUUUACGACGAACUCUUUUAUCACCUCCAUAAUCGAGAAAAUUCCUUAGUCCACUAGUUACUAAGGAUAAGUUCGACCGCUGUCAUGUGAUCCAUUCCUGGAUCACUAUUGUACCCCUUGACUAACUCAUGGCAAGGCACACUUCAGGUGCGGUACAUAGCAUAGCAUAUUGUAGAGCCUACGUCUAAAGCAUAGGGGACGACCUUCGUCCUUUCUCUCUCUUCUGCCGUGGUCAGGUCUUGAGUCUUACUCAAUACUCACACCUUGUAACACAGCCAAGAACUCCUUCUUUGCUGUCUAUUUUGAACUCCUUCAAAAUCUUGUCACGGUAUGUAUUCAUUUGAAAGUACUAUUAAGCGUUUUUGAUCUAUCCUUAUAGAUCUUGAUGCUCAAUGUUCAAGUAGCUUAAUCCAGGUUUUCCAUUGAAAAACACUUUUCAAAUAACCCUCUAUGCUUUCCAGAAAUUCUACAUCAUUUCUGAUCAACAAUAUGUUAACAACAUAUACUCAUCAAAAAUUCUAUAGUGCUCCCACUCACUUCUUUGGAAAUACAAGUUUCUCAUAAACUUUGUAUAAACCCAAAAUCUUUGAUCAUCUCAUCAAAGCGUACAUUCCAACUCCGAGAUGCUUACUCCAGUCCUUAGAAGGAUUGCUGGAGCUUUGCAUACUUGUUAGCAUCUUUCAGGAUUGACAAAACUUCUGGUUGUAUCACAUACAACCUUUCCUCAAGAAAAUCGUCGAGGAAACAAUGUUUUGACAUCCCAUCUGCAAGAUUUCAUAAAUAAUGCAGUAACUGCUAAUAUAAUUCCAACAGACUCUUAGCAUCGCUACGAGUGAGAAAGUCUCAUCGUAGUCAACUCCUUGAACUUAUCAGAAAACAUCUUAACGACAAGUCGAGCUUUCUUAAUGGUGACACUUACCAUCAUUGUCCGUCUUCCUUUUAAAAUCCAUCUGCACCCAACAGCCUUACGACCAUCAAGUAGUUCUUCCAAAGUCUAUAUUUUGUUUUUAUACAUGGAUCCUCUCUCGGAUUUUAUGGCCUCGAGCCAUUCGACGAAAUCUGGGCCCACCAUCGCUUCUCCAUAGCACGUAGGUUCAUUGUUGUCUAGCAACAUGACUUCCAAGACAGGAUUACGUACCACUCUGAAGUAGUACGCAUCCUUGUCGACCUACGAGGUUUGGUAGUGACUUGAUCUGAAGUUUCAUGAUCACUCUCAUAAGCUUCCACUUCAAUUGGUGUAGGUGCCACAGGAACAACUUCCUGUGCCCUCCUACACACUAGUUGAAGUGACGGUUCAAUAACCUCAUCAAGUCUCCACCAUCCUCCCACUCAAUUCUUUCGAGAGAAACUUUUCCUCGAGAAAGGAACCGUUUCUAGAAACAAUCACUUUUGCUUCCAGAUCUGAAAUAGGAGGUAUACCCAACUGUUUUGGGUAUUCUAUGAAGAUGCAUUUAUCCGCUUUGGGUUCGAGCUUAUCAGCUUGAAACUUUUUCACAUAAGCGUCGCAGCCCCAAACUUUUAAGAAACGACAGCUUAGGUUUCUCUAAACCAUAGUUCAUAUGGUGUCGUCUCAACGGAAUUGCAUGGUGCCCUAUUUAAAGUGAAUGCGGUUGUCUCUAAUGCCUAGCCCAUAAAUGAUAGCGGUAAUUCGAUAAGAGACAUCAUGGUAUGCACCAUAUCCAAUAGGGUGCAGUUAUGAUGUUCGGACACACCAUCACACUACGGUGUUCCAGGCGGUAUUAGUUGUGAAACAAUUUCCACAAUGUCUUAAUUGUGUGCCAAACUCGUAACUCAGAUAUUCAUCUCUAUGAUCAUAUCACAGACAUUUUAUCCUCUUGUCACGACGAUCUUCAACUUUACUCUGAAAUUACUUGAACCUUUCAAUAAUUCAGACUUGUGUUUCAUCAAGUAAAUAUACUCAGCAUCUACUCAAAUCAUCUGUGAAGUAAGAACAUAACGAUAUCCACUGCAUGCCUCAGCACUCAUUGGACUGCACACAUCAAAAUGUAUUACUUCCAACAAGUUGCUUUCUUGUUCCAUCUCACUGAAAACGAGGCCUUUCAGUCAUCUUGCCCAUGUGGUAUGAUUUGCAUGUCUCAAGUGAUUCAAAAUCAAGUGAGUCCAAACAAUCCAUCUGUAUGGAGUUUCUUCAUGCAUUAUACCAAUAGACAUGGUUCGCAUGUCUCAAUCUUUUAAAAAACGAGUGAGUCCAAAGAUCCAUCAACAUGGAGCUUCUUCAUGCGUUUUAUACCAAUAUGACUCAAGUGGCAGUGCCACAAGUAUGUGGUACUAUCAUUACUAUCUUAUAUCUUUUGGCAUGAACAUGUGUAUCACUACGAUCGAGAUUCAAUAAACCAUUCAUUUUAGGUGCAAGACCAUUGAAGGUAUUAUUCAAAUAGACAGAGUAACCAUUAUUCUCCUUAAAUGAAUAACCGUAUUGCGAUAAACAUAAUCCAAUCAUGUCUAUGCUCAACGCAAACACCAAAUAACAAUUAUUUAGGUUUAACACCAAUCUCGAUGGUAGAGGGAGCAUGCGAUGCUUGAUCACAUCAACCUUGGAAACACUUCCAACACAUAUCGUCAUCUCACCUUUAGCUAGUCUCCGUUUAUUCCGUAGCCUUUUAUUUCGAGUUACCAACACUUAGCAACCGAACCGGUAUCUAAUACCCUGGUGCUACUAGGAGUACUAGUAAAGUACACAUUAAUAUAAUGUAUAUCCAAUAUACUUCUGUCGACCUUGCCUGCCUUCUCAUCUACCAAGUAUCUAGGGUAGUUCUGCUUCAGUGACCGUUCCCCUCAUUACAGAAGCACUUAGUCUCGGGUUUGGGUUCUACCUUGGGUUUCUUCACUAGAGCAACAACUGAUUUGCCGUUUCAUGAAGUAUCCCUUCUUUCCCUUGCCUUGAAACUAGUGGUUUUACUAACCAUCAACAAUUGAUGCUCCUACUUGAUUUCUACUUUCGCGGUGUCAAACAUCGCGAGUUGCUCAAGGAUCAUCAUGUCUAUCCCUGAUAUGUUAUAGUUCAUCACGAAGCUCUAAUAGCUUGGUGUCAGUGACUAUGGAGAACCAUCACUAUCUCAUCUGGAAGAUUUACUCCCAUUCGAUUCAAGCGAUUGUAGUACUCAAACAAUCUGAGCACAUGCUCAACGAUUGAGCUUUUCUCCCUUAGUUUGCAGGCUUAAGAAACUUGUCAGAGGUCUCAUACCUCUUGACGUGGGCACUAGUCUGAAAUCCCAAUUUCAAUCUUUGGAACAUCUCAUAUGUUCUGUGACAUUUCAAAACCGUCUUUGGUGCCACAAUUUUAAACCGUUAGCAUUACGCACUGAACUAUCACGUAGUCAUCAAAACGUGUAUGUCAGAUGUUUCGCAACAUCUACAGACGACGCCCGAGGUUCAGCACACCGAGCGGUGCAUUAUGGACAUAAGCCUUCUGUGCAGCAAUGAGGACAAUCCUCAAUAUACGGACCCAGUCCGCAUAAUUGCUACUGUCAACUUUCAACUAAAUUUUCUCUAGGAACAUAUCUUAAACAGUAGAACUAAAGCGUAAGCUAUGACAUAAUUUGCAAAGACAUUUUGACUAUGUUCAUGAUAAUUAAGUUCAUGUGAUUAUUUAAUGAACUCUCACUUAGAUAGACAUCCCUCUAGUCAUCUAAGUGAUACAUGAUCCGAAUCGACUAGACCGUGUCCGAUCAUCACGUGAGACGGACUAGUCAUCAACGGUGAACAUCUCCAUGUUGAUCGUAUCUACUAUACGACUCAUGUUCGACCUUUCGGUCUCUUGUGUUCCGAGGCCAUGUCUGUACAUGCUAGGCUCGUCAAGUCAACCUAAGUGUUUCGCAUGUGUAAAUCUGGCAUACACCCGUUGUAUGCGAACGUUAGAAUCUAUCACACCCGAUCAUCACGUGGUGCUUCGAAACAACGAACCUUCGCAACGGUGCACAGUUAGGGGGAACACAUCUCUUGAAAUUUUAUUGAGAGAUCAUCUAAUUUAUGCUACCGUCAUUCUAAGCAAAUAAGAUGUAAACAUGACAAACAUCACAUGCAAAUCAUAAAGUGACAUGAUAUGGCCAGUAUCAUCUUGCGCCUUUUGAUCUCCAUCUUCAAGGCGCGGCAUGAUCACCUUCGUCACCGGCAUGACACCACAAUCUCCAUCAUCGUGUCUUCAUGAAGUUGUCUCGCCCACUAUUACUUCUACUACUAUGGCUAACGGUUAGCAAUAAAGUAAAGUAAUUACAUGGCGUUUUUCAUUGACACGCAGGUCAUACAAUAAAUUAAGACAACUCCUAUGGCUCCUGCCGGUUGUCAUACUCAUUGACAUACAAGUCGUGAUUCCUAUUACAAGAACAUGAUCAAUCUCAUACAUCACAUAUAUAUAAUUCAUCACAUCCUUUUGGCCAUAUCACAUCACAUAGCAUACCCUGCAAAAACAAGUUAGACAUCCUCUAAUUGUUGUUGCAUGUUUUACGUGGCUGCUAUGGGUUUCUAGAAAGAACGUUUCUUACCUACGCAAAAGCCACAACGGUGAUAUGCCAAUUGCUAUUUACCCUUCAUAAGGACCCUCUUCAUCGAAUCCGAUCUGACUAAAGUGGGAGAGACAGACACCCGCUAGCCACCUUAUGCAUCAAGUGCAUGUCAGUCGGUGGAACCUGUCUCACGUAAGAGUACGUGUAAGGUCGGUCCGGGCCGCUUCAUCCCACAAUGCCGCCGAAUCAAGAUAAGACUAGUAACGGUAAGCAAAUUGAACAAAUCAUCGCCCACAACUACUUUGUGUUCUACUCGUGCAUAGAAUCUACGCAUAGACCAAUCUAGGAGAUAAUAAUUCAAAAUUGUUGGAGAUAAUAAUCUAGUAACGGUAAGCAAAUUGAACAAAUCAUCGCCCACAGCUCAUGAUGCCACUGUUGGGGAACGUAGCAAUAAUUCAAAAUUUUCCUACGUGUCACCAAGAUCAAUCUAGGAGAUGCUAGCAAUGAGAGAGAGGGAGUGCAUCUUCAUACCCUUGAAGAUCGCUAAACGGAAGCGUUACAAGAACGCUAUUGAUGGAGUCGUACUCGCGGCGAUUCAAAUCGCGGAAGAUCCGAUCUAGCGCCGAACGGACGACGCCUCCGCGUUCAACACACGUACAGCCCGGGGACGUCUCCUCCUUCUUGAUCCAGCAAGGGGAGAGGUGAAGUUGAGGGAGAACUCCAGCAGCACGACGGCGUGGUGGUAAUGGAGCUCGUGGUUCUCCGGCAGAGCUUCGCUAAGCACUACGGAGGAGAAGGAGGAGUUGGAGGAGGAGAGGGCUGCGCCAGGCCAGGGGGUGCGGCUGCCCUCCCACCCCCUCUAUUUAUAGGGGCAAGGGAGAGGGGCGCCGGCCCCCUCCAGAUGGAUCUAGAGGGGGGGCGGCCAAGGGUGGGAGGCUUGCCCCCCAAGCCAACGGNNNNNNNNNNNNNNNNNNNNNNNNNNNNNNNNNNNNNNNNNNNNNNNNNNNNNNNNNNNNNNNNNNNNNNNNNNNNNNNNNNNNNNNNNNNNNNNNNNNNNNNNNNNNNNNNNNNNNNNNNNNNNNNNNNNNNNNNNNNNNNNNNNNNNNNNNNNNNNNNNNNNNNNNNNNNNNNNNNNNNNNNNNNNNNNNNNNNNNNNNNNNNNNNNNNNNNNNNNNNNNNNNNNNNNNNNNNNNNNNNNNNNNNNNNNNNNNNNNNNNNNNNNNNNNNNNNNNNNNNNNNNNNNNNNNNNNNNNNNNNNNNNNNNNNNNNNNNNNNNNNNNNNNNNNNNNNNNNNNNNNNNNNNNNNNNNNNNNNNNNNNACCUAGGGGCUGGUUCCCCUCUAUAUUCAGCCCAUAGGGCCCUCCAGGGCAGGUGGACCCUCCCGGUGGACCCCCGGAACCCUUUCGGUGGUCCCGGUACAAUACCGAUAUAUACCCCCGAACACUUCCCGCGACCGAAUAAGGACUUCCCAUAUAUAAAUCUUCGUCUCCGGACCAUUCCGAAACUCCUCGUGACGUCCGAGAUCUCAUCCGGGACUCCGAACAACCUUCGGUAACCACAUACUAUUUCCCAUAACAACUCUAGCGUCACCGAACCUUAAGUGUGUAGACCCUACGGGUUCGGGAACCAUGCAGACAUGACCGAGACACCUCUCCGGCCAAUAACCAAUAGUGGGAUCUGGAUACCCAUAUGGGCUCCCACAUGUUCCACGAUGAUCUCAUCGGAUGAACCACGAUGUCGGGGAUUCAAUCAAUCCCGUAUACAAUUCCCUUUGUCCAUCGGUAUGUUACUUGCCCGAGAUUCGACCGUCGGUAUCCCAAUACCUCGUUCAAUCUCGUUACCGGCAAGUCUCUUUACUCGUUCCGUAAUGCAUGAUCCCGUGGCUAACUCAUUAGUCACAUUGAGCUCAUUAUGAUGAUGCAUUACCGAGUGGGCCCAGAGAUACCUCUCCGUCAUACGGAGUGACAAAUCCCAGUCUCGAUUCGUGCCAACCCAACAGACACUUUCGGAGAUACCUGUAAUGCACCUUUAUAGCCACCCAGUUACGUUGUGACGUUUGGUACACCCAAAGCAUUCCUACGGUAUCCGGGAGUUGCACAAUCUCAUGGUCUAAGGAAACGAUACUUGACAUUAGAAAAGCUCUUAGCAAACGAACUACACGAUCUUGUGCUAUGCUUAGGAUUGGGUCUUGUCCAUCACAUCAUUCUCCUAAUGAUGUGAUCCAGUUAUCAAUGACAUCCAAUGUCCAUGGUCAGGAAACCAUAACCAUCUAUUGAUCAACGAGCUAGUCAACUAGAGGCUUACUAGGGACAUGUUGUGGUCUAUGUAUUCACACAUGUAUUACGGUUUCCAGUUAAUACAAUUAUAGCAUGAACAAUAGACAAUUAUCAUGAACAAGGAAAUAUAAUAAUAACCAUUUUAUUAUUGCCUCUAGGGCAUAUUUCCAACAGGGUGCACCACAUUACCCGACACGCUCGAUCCCUCUGGCCGGGCACACUUUCCUGGGUCAUGUCUGGCCUCGGGAGAUCAACACGUCGCAGCCCUACCUAGGCUCAACAGAGAGGUCAGCACGCUGGUCUAAAUCCCAUGCGCGCAGGGGUCUGGGCCCAUCGCCCAUUGCACACCUGCAUGUUGCGAACACGGCCGGAAGCAGACCUAGCCCCUGAUACGUCUCCAACGUAUCUAUAAUUUUUGAUUGCUCCAUGCUAUAUUAUCUUCUGUUUUGGACAUUAUUGGGCUUUAUUAUUCACUUUUAUAUUAUUUUUGGGACUAACCUAUUAAUCGGAGGCCCAGCCCAGAAUUGUUGUUUUUUGCCUAUUUCAGAGUUUUGCAGAAAAAGGAUAUCAAACGGAGUCCAAACGGAAUGAAACCUUCGGGAGCGUGAUUUUUGGAACGAACAAGAUCCAGGAGACUUGGACCCUACGUAAGAGAAGCUUCCAGGAGGCCACGAGGUAGGGGGCGCGCCUACCCCCCAGGGCGCGCCCUCCACCCUCGUGGGCCCCCUGUUGCUCCACCGACGUACUCCUUCCUCCUAUAUAUACCUACGUACCCCCAAACGAUCAGAACAGGAGCCAAAAACCUAAUUCCACUGCCGCAACCUUCUGUACCCACGAGAUCCCAUCUUGGGGCCUGUUCCGGAGCUCCGCCGGAGGGGGCAUCCAUCACGGAGGGCUUCUACAUCAACACCAUAGCCUCUCCGAUGAAGUGUGAGUAGUUUACCUCAGACCUUCGGGUCCAUAGUUAGUAGCUAGAUGGCUUCUUCUCUCUUUUUGGAUCUCAAUACAAUGUUCUCCCCCUCUCUCGUGGAGAUCUAUUUGAUGUAAUCUUCUUUUUGCGGUGUGUUUGUUGAGACCGAUGAACUGUGGGUUUAUGAUCAAGAUUAUCUAUGAACAAUAUUUGAAUCUUCUCUGAAUUCUUUUAUGUAUGAUUGGUUAUCUUUGCAAGUCUCUUCGAAUUAUCAGUUUGGUUUGGCCUACUAGAUUGAUCUUUCUUGCAAUGGGAGAAGUGCUUAGCUUUGGGUUCAAUCUUGCGGUGUCCUUUCCCAGUGACAGUAGGGGCAGCAAGGCACGUAUUGUAUUGUUGCCAUCGAGGAUAACAAGAUGGGGUUUUUUAUCAUAUUGCAUGAAUUUAUCCCUCUACAUCAUGUCAUCUUGCUUAAGGCGUUACUCUGUUUUCAUGAACUUAAUACUCUAGAUGCAUGCUGGAUAGCGGUCGAUGAGUGGAGUAAUAGUAGUAGAUGCAGGCAGGAGUCGGUCUACUUGGCUCGGACGUGAUGCCUAUAUACAUGAUCAUACCUAGAUAUUCUCAUAACUAUGCUCAAUUCUGUCAAUUGCUCAACAGUAAUUCGUUCACCCACCAUAAAAUACUUAUGCUCUUGAGAGAAGCCACUAGUGAAUCCUAUGGCCCUCGGGUCUAUCUUCAUCAUAUUAAUCUCCCAACACUUAUUUAUUUCCUUUGCUUUUAUUUUACUUUGCAUCUUAUCAUAAAAAUACCAAAAAUAUUAUCCUAUCAUAUCUAUCAGAUCUCACUCUCGUAAGUGACCGUGAAGGGACUGACAACCCCUUAUCGCGUUGGUUGCGAGGAUUUAUUUGUUUUGUGUAGGUACGAGGGACUCGCGUGUAGCCUCCUACUGGAUUGAUACCUUGGUUCUCAAAAACUGAGGGAAAUACUUACGCUACUUUGCUGCAUCACCCUUUCCUCUUCAAGGGAAAACCUACGUAGUGCUCAAGAGGUAGCAAGAAGGAUUUCUGGCGCCGUUGCCGGGGAGGUCUACGCAAAAGUCAACAUACCAAGUACCCAUCACAAUCCCUUAUCUCCCGCAUUACAUUAUUUGCCAUUUGCCUCUCGUUUUCCUCUCCCCCACUUCACCCUUGCCGUUUUAUUCGCCCUCUCUUUUCCUUUUGCCUUUUUCUCGUUUGCUUGCCGUUAUGGCUAGUCUUCUAUCUUCUCCGUUGUCUCCCGAGAAUGAAGUUCUAAAUUUUAAGCAAAGGGAGGGAGAAAAUCUAAAAGACGCUUGGUAUAGAAUUUGCAAUGCUCAAAAUAGAUCUACCAGGAAGCAAUCUACUUCCGUUCUUCUCCGCAAUUUUUAUGUAGGUGCUAAUCAUUGGUAUAGAUAUAUCCUUGAUACCAUUACCGGAGGGAAUUUCUUGGGUAGCCAUACUUCUGAUUCUUAUAAUGCUAUGAUAGAUUUGUUUGGCUCACCGCCCCUUUUGGUUAAUGGAACUAUGUUAACUUUGGAGCAUGUAAUGCAAAGACUUGAAAUUAUUGAAAAUAAGGUUGCUACCAUAGAGUUAAUUGAAAAUUUGGAUAAAAAGAUCCACAACCGAAUCACUCAAUAUGGAUCUAAAGUAGGAGUCACCUUGAAAAAUAUUAAAGAAAAGGAACCCAUAGUUAAUGAGAAAAUAAAUCAGGAUUCCACUAGGAUCGAUAAACUUGAGGAUAUCAUUACCAACUUGGGAACCGCUUUUUCUUCCGUUAAGAAUACUCCAAGUCCUCCUACUAAAAUUGCCAAGCUUAUGUAUGUUCCUAAAAAUAAGGGUGAAUCCUCUAGCAAGGAAACUGCGGAUCUCAAAUCUAUAAGUAUUCAUCCCAAUCUUUUUGCUAUCAUUAAGGAACCAUUUAUUGCAAAUGAAUUUUUCGAUCUUGUGCCUAAAAGUUUGAUAAUCAAUAAAAAGAAAGAAAUUCCUAAAGAUGGGAGAUGCCUCAUUGAAGAAUUGCCUACCAAAGAUGGCAAUACCUAAGAUCUAUCCUUGCUUUUAUGCCUAGCUAGGGGCGUUAAACGAUAGCGCUUUUUGGGAGGCAACCCAAUUUUAUUUUUUAGUUUUUUUUUUCUUUUGCUUCUGUUUAGGAAUAAAUAUUUGUUCUAGCCUCUGAUUAGAUGUGUUUUUAUGUUUUAAUUAGUGUUUGUGCCAAGUUAAACCUAUAGGAUCUUCUUGGAUGAUAUUUAUUUGAUCUUGCAGAAAUUUCCAGAAACUUUCUGUUCACGAAAAAAAUUGUUAAACAUCACCAGAACGUGAUAAAAUACUGAUUCCAAUUGCUGCUGAUCAAUAAACAAAUUGUCUAGGUCGUCCUAUUUUUGCUGAUGUUUUGGAGUUCCAGAAGUUUUCAUUAGUUACAGAUUACUACAGACUGUUCUGUUUUUGACAGAUUCUGUUUUUCGUGUGUUGUUUGCUUAUUUUGAUGAAUCUAUGGCUAGUAAAAUAGUUUAUAAACCAUAGAGAAGUUGGAAUACAGUAGGUUUAACACCAAUAUAAAUAAAGAAUGAGUUCAUUACAGUACCUUGAAGUGGUCUUUUGUUUUCUUUCGCUAACGGAGCUCACGAGAUUUUCUGUUAAGUUUUGUGUUGUGAAGUUUUCAAGUUUUGGGUGAAAGAUUUGAUGGAUUAUGGAACAAGGAGUGGAAAGAGCCUAAGCUUGGGGAUUCCCAUGGCACCCCCAAGAUAUUCUAAGGACACCAAAAAGCCAAAGCUUGGGGAUGCCCCGGAAGGCAUCCCCUCUUUCCUCUACUUUCAUCGGUAACUUUACUUGGAGCUAUAUUUUUAUUCACCACAUGAUAUGUGUUUUGCUUGGAGCGUCUUGUAUGAUUUGAGUCUUUGCUUUUUAGUUUACCACAAUCAUCCUUGAUGUACACACCUUUUGAGAGAGCCAUACAUGAUUUGGAAAUUAUUAGAAUACUCUAUGUGCUUCACUUAUAUCUUUUGAGUUAUAUAGUUUUGCUCUAGUACUUCACUUAUAUCUUUUAGAGCACGGUGGUGGAUUUGUUUUAUAGAAACUAUUGAUCUCUCAUGCUUCACUUAGAUUAUUUUGAGAGUCUUAAAUAGCAUGGUAAUUUGCUUAAAUAAUCCUAAUAUGCUAGGUAUUCAAGUUUAGUAAAAACUUUCUUAUGAGUGUGUUGAAUACUAAGGGAAGUUUGAUGCUUGAUGAUUGUUUUGAGAUAUGGAGGUAAUAAUAUCAAAGUAGUGCUAGUUGAGUAGUUGUGAAUUUGAGAAAUGCUUGUGUUGAAGUUUGCAAGUCCCGUAGCAUGCACGUAUGGUAAACGUUAUGUAACAAAUUUGAAACAUGAGGUGUUUUUUGAUUGUCCUCCUUAUGAGUGGCGGUCGGGGACGAGCGAUGGUCUUUUUCUACCAAUCUAUCCCCCUAGGAGCAUGCGUGUAGUGCUUGGUUUUCGAUGACUUGUAGAUUUUUGCAAUAAGUAUGUGAGUUCUUUAUGACUAAUGUUGAGUCCAUGGAUUAUACGCACUCUCACCCUUCCAUCAUUGCUAGCCUCUUCGGUACCGUGCAUUGCCCUUUCUCACAUUGAGAGUUGGUGCAAACUUCGCCGGUGCAUCCAAACCCCGUGAUAUGAUACGCUCUUUCACACAUAAACCUCCUUAUAUCUUCCUCAAAACAGCCACCAUACCUACCUAUUAUGGCAUUUCCAUAGCCAUUCCGAGAUAUGUUGCCAUGCAACUUUCCACCAUUCCGUUUAUCAUGACACAUCCAUCAUUGUCAUAUUGCUUAGCAUGAUCAUGUAGUUGAUAUAGUAUUUGUGGCAAAGCCACCAUUCAUAAUUCUUUCAUACAUGUCACUCUUGGUUCAUUGCAUAUCCCGGUAGACCGCCGGAGGCAUUCAUAUAGAGUCAUACUUUGUUCUAGUAUCAAGUUGUAAUCAUUGAGUUGUAAAUAAAUAGAAGUGUGAUGAUCAUCAUUUUCUAGAGCAUUGUCCCAAGUGAGGAAUAAAAAAAGAGAAAGGCCAUAAAAAAAAGAGAAGGCCCAAAAAAAAGAGAGAAAAAGAGAGAAGGGACAAUGUUACUAUCCUUUGCCACACUUUUGCUUCAAAGUAGCACCAUAAUCUUCAUGAUAGAGAGUCUCUUGUUUUGUCACUUUCAUAUACUAGUGGGAAUUUUUCAUUAUAGAACUUGGCUUGUAUAUUCCAACAAUGGGCCUCCUCAAGUGCCCUAGGUCUUCGUGCGCAAGCAAGUUGGAUGCACACCCACUUAGUUUCUUUUGUUGAGCUUUCAUACAUUUAUAGCUCUAGUGCAUCCGUUGCAUGGAAAUCCCUACUCCUUGCAUUAACAUCAGUCCAUGGGCAUCUCCAUAGCUCAUUGAUUAGCCUCGUUGAUGUGAGACUUUCUCCUUUUUGUCUUCUCCACAUAACCCCCAUCAUCAUAUUCUAUUCCACCCAUAGUGCUAUGUCCAUGGCUCGCGCUCAUAUAUUGCGUGAAGGUUUAUAAGUUUGAGAUUACUAAAGUAUGAAACAAUUGCUUGGCUUGUCAUCGGGGUUGUGCAUGAUGAGAGCAUUCUUGUGUGACGAAAAUGGAGCAUGACUAAACUAUAUGAUUUUGUAGGGAUGAACUUUCUUUGGCCAUGUUAUUUUGAGAAGACAUAAUUGCUUAGUUAGUAUGCUUGUAGUAUUAUUAUUUUUAUGUCAAUAUGAACUUUUAUCUUGAAUCUUUCGGAUCUGAAUAUUCAUACCACAAUUAAGAAGAAUUACAUUGAAAUUAUGCCUAGUAGCACUCCGCAUCAAAAAUUCUGUUUUUAUCAUUUACCUACUCGAGGACGAGCAGGAAUUAAGCUUGGGGAUGCUUGAUACGUCUCCAACGUAUCUAUAAUUUUUGAUUGCUCCAUGCUAUAUUAUCUUCUGUUUUGGACAUUAUUGGGCUUUAUUAUUCACUUUUAUAUUAUUUUUGGGACUAACCUAUUAACCGGAGGCCCAGCCCAGAAUUGCUGUUUUUUUGCCUAUUUCAGAGUUUCGCAGAAAAAGAAUAUCAAACGGAGUCCAAACGGAAUGAAACCUUCGGGAGCGUGAUUUUUGGAACGAACAAGAUCCAGGAGACUUGGACCCUACGUAAGAGAAGCUUCCAGGAUGCCACGAGGUAGGGGGCGCGCCUACCCCCCAGGGCGCGCCCUCCACCCUCGUGGGCCCCCUGUUGCUCCACCGACGUACUCCUUCCUCCUAUAUAUACCUACGUACCCCCAAACGAUCAGAACAGGAGCCAAAAACCUAAUUCCACCGCCGCAACCUUCUGUACCCACGAGAUCCCAUCUUGGGGCCUGUUCCGGAGCUCCGCCGGAGGGGGCAUCCAUCACGGAGGGCUUCUACAUCAACACCAUAGCCUCUCCGAUGAAGUGUGAGUAGUUUACCUCAGACCUUCGGGUCCAUAGUUAGUAGCUAGAUGGCUUCUUCUCUCUUUUUGGAUCUCAAUACAAUGUUCUCCCCCUCUCUCGUGGAGAUCUAUUCGAUGUAAUCUUCUUUUUGCGGUGUGUUUGUUGAGACCGAUGAACUGUGGGUUUAUGAUCAAGAUUAUCUAUGAACAAUAUUUGAAUCUUCUCUGAAUUCUUUUAUGUAUGAUUGGUUAUCUUUGCAAGUCUCUUCGAAUUAUCAGUUUGGUUUGGCCUACUAGAUUGAUCUUUCUUGCAAUGGGAGAAGUGCUUAGCUUUGGGUUCAAUCUUGCGGUGUCCUUUCCCAGUGACAGUAGGGGCAGCAAGGCACGUAUUGUAUUGUUGCCAUCGAGGAUAACAAGAUGGGUUUUUUUAUCAUAUUGCAUGAAUUUAUCCCUCUACAUCAUGUCAUCUUGCUUAAGGCGUUACUCUGUUUUCAUGAACUUAAUACUCUAGAUGCAUGCUGGAUAGCGGUCGAUGAGUGGAGUAAUAGUAGUAGAUGCAGGCAGGAGUCGGUCUACUUAGCUCGGACGUGAUGCCUAUAUACAUGAUCAUACCUAGAUAUUCUCAUAACUAUGCUCAAUUCUGUCAAUUGCUCAACAGUAAUUCGUUCACCCACCGUAAAAUACUUAUGCUCUUGAGAGAAGCCACUAGUGAAACCUAUGGCCCCCGGGUCUAUCUUCAUCAUAUUAAUCUCCCAACACUUAUUUAUUUCCUUUGCUUUUUUACUUUGCUUUUAUUUUACUUUGCAUCUUAUCAUAAAAAUACCAAAAAUAUUAUCCUAUCAUAUCUAUCAGAUCUCACUCUCGUAAGUGACCGUGAAGGGAUUGACAACCCCUUAUCGCGUUGGUUGCAAGGAUUUAUUUGUUUUGUGUAGGUACGAGGGACUCGCGCGUAGCCUCCUACUGGAUUGAUACCAUGGUUCUCAAAAACUGAGGGAAAUACUUACGCUACUUUGCUGCAUCACCCUUUCCUCUUCAAGGAAAAACCAAUGCAGUGCUCAAGAGGUAGCAGCCCCCUUAAUACAAGCGCGAGCUUACGGUCCAAUGCGGCGCGCGCCGCUCAGUCACUGACGUCAAAAAGAGCUUCGGCUAAUACCAUGAUGUCAGUUUGCCCAUAUCUUGUCCCACGUGGCGGUCAGUGCGUAUAAGGUCAACGACCCAACUCAGAUCAAAUACCAAGAUCUCGUUAAGCGUGUUAUUAUGAAGUAACCGCGGACGCCGACCAGGGCCAGGCCCACCACUCUCCUAGGUGGUCUCAACCUUCCGUGUCGCUCCGCCACAAAGUAACAGUCGGGGGUCGUCGGGAACCCAGGCCGACCUCUACCGGGAUGGAGCCACCUGCCCCUUCAGCCCCCAUCUCCGAACAGUAUCAUAAGUAAUGUAACAGUAUAAAGUAUAUAGCAUAUGCCCGUGAUCACCUCCCGAAGUGAUCACGGCCUAGUAGUAUAGCAUGGCAGACGGACAAGAGUGUAGGGCCACUGAUGGAAUACUAGCAUCCUAUAUUAAGCAUUUAAGAUUGCAGGUAAGGGUAACAACUGUAGCAACAAUGACAGGCUAUGCAGCAGAAUAGGAUUAACCGAAAAUAGUAACAUGCUACACUACUCUAAUGCAAGCAGUAGAGAGAAGGAAUAGGCGAUAUCUGGUGAUCAAGGAGGGGGCUUGCCUGGUUGCCCUGGCAAGAAGGAGGGGUCGUCAACACCGUAGUCGAUCGGGGUACCAGCAUCAGCGUCAGUCUCGUAGUCUACCGGAGAGAAGAGGGGGAAGAAACAAUAAAUAUAAUGCAAACAUAAGCAUGACAAUGCAUGACAUGACUACGAGCGGUGCUAGGUGUGCCCUAACAUGGUAGGAGGUGAUACCGGUGAAGGGGGAAACAUCCGGGAAAGUAUCCCCGGUGUUUCGCGUUUUUGGACAAAUGAACUGGAGGGGGAAAGUUGCGUGUUUGCUACGCUAGGGAUGUAUGGCGGACGAACGGGGUGCGUAUCAGGAUUUGUCUUGUCGUUCUGAGCAACUUUCAUGUACAAAGUAUUUUCAUCCGAGUUACGAUUAUUUUUCUAUGAUUUUUCGAAGUUUUUAAAUAUUUUCUAGAAUUCCUGGAAUUGUUUAAAUCGAAUUUAAGGCAGAAUGUGCAUUUGUUACCUAGUGUUACCCUAGCCUAUGUGUAUGACACUGGGACCCGUGGGGCUGGUCAACCAUUUUACUUUGACUGGUCAAAAGGUGAGGUAUGUCCCACAUGUCAUAGGCAUCUAAAUUAAAUUAGUGUCUAGAUUAGAAUGGGGCCACAUGUCAUAGGCUAUUAGGCUAAUCUAGCACUAAACUGAUACUAACUAAACAGCAGAAUUAGUCCUAGAACUAAUCUAGCUAAUUAAAUUAGACCUAACUAGUUUGGGCCGGCCGCACACACACUCACACACACGUGCACUCACACAGCACACUACACACAAUGCUAGAGGUUAAAUCUGUUUUCUGUUAACAGAAGAUAGCAUUUUGUGAUUUUAUAGGACUUAAACCAUGCAUCAAAUGGAUUUGGUCCAGUGGUACAAAAUGCAGUUUGUCAAAUAUACUACCUUUACAUAAUAAUUUUGCUCUUGUUAGUAGUUGUUUAGUCGUUGUUUAGGGGCAGUCCAGGGGGUUACUCAAUGUAAUAUCAGUAAAGCUAGCUGCAUCCACAGUAGUUAGCAGCAGCAGCAGUACAGCAAAGCGGGUGGCUGGACAAGGGUGCGGGGCUGCGCGGGCGCAGGCUGUGAGCCGUGAGCGGCGCGCGGCACAGGGGCAUCGGGCGUGCAGAGGCGUGGACGGGCACGAACUGCGCACGGGGAGAGGCGCCGCUACGAUGUGGUGAGCGCAGGUGGAAGCACGACGGUGCGCGCCGGUGGUCUACAGCGGCGCCCAACAGAAUGGCGGCGGCGUGCGAAACUCGCUGUUCUGGCGACCAAAUGGCCGGCCGCGAGCAUCAAACGGGCGAGCACGAUGCGCCGAUCCUAACUACGCAAGCGACAGUUGUUGGGGAUGGCCGGAACGACGACAACGGCGAUGGCCGAGCGGUGGCCGGAGCAAGAGCUCGAGGGGAUCGAGUCUAUGGGACGCGCCAGAGUCAACUGUGAGGGGGAGGAGCUGCAGGAGCUCACCGCGGAGUCUUCUGAUGCCCGUGGCGAAGCCGAGGACGGCCGGAGCAAUGUAGACCGAAGAGAAGCAGUGGCGGCCAGCGAUGAUGAAGAUGGAGUCGAUCGCGAGCGCUGGCGACGACCCAGAGCAAUCUUGCACCGGGAAGAUGAGGACGAAGAAGGCGAGCUCUCCGGUGCAGUCCUGGGCGUCAGGGAGGCGACCGGCCGCGACUGCGUCAGGACAACGGUGAGCGCGGCGGCCGCGGUCUCGGGCGAGGUAGAUCUGAUGGGGCGAGUGAGGUGGAGAGGGGGGAUGAGAGAGUGCGUGAGAAAUAUCUGCGANNNNNNNNNNNNNNNNNNNNNNNNNNNNNNNNNNNNNNNNNNNNNNNNNNNNNNNNNNNNNNNNNNNNNNNNNNNNNNNNNNNNNNNNNNNNNNNNNNNNNNNNNNNNNNNNNNNNNNNNNNNNNNNNNNNNNNNNNNNNNNNNNNNNNNNNNNNNNNNNNNNNNNNNNNNNNNNNNNNNNNNNNNNNNNNNNNNNNNNNNNNNNNNNNNNNNNNNNNGGUGGCGGCCUUAUCCUCCUGGUGAACGCCGACGAGGGGGUUGGGCGGCGAUGAGCGCGUGCGGGCGCUCGGUCGGACGCGCCCGAGGAACAGUGAAGAGGAGCAAGGGGUUUGAGUGGGCCAGCUGGGCCGACUGGACCUGCCCAGCUGCUUAGGCCCAGGUAGAGGGGGCUUUUGUCUUUUCUUUUCUUUUAAAACUUUUAUGUUUUAUUUUAUUUUCAAAAAGCAAAAUAGUUGUAUAAAAUAUUAAGCAUGCACCUAAACUAUAAUUAUAACUUAGGGCACUUCUAUAAUUAACUUGGCACCAAACUAAAGUAGUUUAGUAUUUUUAUAAAGUAACAAGCAUUUAAAUAAUUGUUUUAGCCACUAUUUUAAAUAGUUUAGGGCAUUUAAACACUUUUCAAAAAUGUUGAUUCACCACCAGCAUUAACAAAAUACUAUUUUCCACAUGAUUAACAUUUAGUUUUAACAUUUGAAAACUUUUAUUGUUUGCUUGAUUUUGAAUUUGAAUUCGAACCAGUUUCGAACUAACGCGAGAUUAGCAACAGUAAUCGAGGUGACGUGGCAUCAUUAGCAGAGGUUUACUAUAGCUUGAUUAUCCGGGCGUCACAAUUCUCCUCCACUACAAGAAAUCUCAUCCCAAGAUUUAAGAGGGGAGUAAGGGGAAAGUUCUGGUUACGAAAUUCUAACGGAUCUUCCCGUCUUUGGUUGCUCUUCUCGAAGGAGUUGAUCCCUCGCAUUGAUGUCUUCAUUUCUCUAUUUUAGGUCAUCAAGAUGAAGUCGACAUCCUUUUUUUUUGGGAACUCCAUCGUACUUACGAAAGAAUAGAGGGUGGGUAUUCCGAGAGAACGGACCUCUGCAAGGUUGACUAUCUGGUCGAUAACAUCGGGGAAGGUGGCGAAAAGUACUCUCGAAUUGAAACUUAAGAAAAUAUCGAGAGCAAAGUGAGGAGGUAUUCAUGGGAAGUUUCGAGCGGGCAGGCAAUCGUUCGAUGCCUGAAACAGCGCGUGAAAGGGGUUCAAAGCAAUGGGAAUAAGUAUUGUGUCUGAUAUCAGAAUUGAUGAUCUCUUAGACGGCGGCUCGUGAAUUACAUACGAGGCCACACGCGAGGAAUAACUUCGGGAACAGGGGGUGUCCAGGAGAGUCAGGUUUCGAUCCUGUGGAGCUGUGGGUUAUGGGCCCACCAUGCGGGUUAAAAGCAGGGAGGGCGUUGUCAUCUUGCACGAUCAUGAGAGCAAGGCAUGUCAGAGAAGAGACUAUCAGUUAUGUUGGCAACAAUAUCGGUACCAAGGGCGAGGGAUGAAGAGAACCAAUUUCCUGCUCGUUGAACAAGGUGGACCAAUAGGCAAAGUUCUCGUCCAUCGGUGGUUACCGGAAUAUCAUCAACAAUAGUAACAGGGUCUUACUGACAGAGUUGUACACUGAGGUGUUUGCAUAAGCAGAAAAUAUUACUGCUUAGAUCAUAUUGAUCACAAGAAAAGUUAAACAAGACAAUGGAAAGGAAAAUGUGAUUAUUAGAUUAAACAGAACAAUGGAAAGGAAAAUGUGUUUAAACACAUAUUUCAGGGGUAUAUCCUUCCCAAGGACAAGCAGAGCAUGAUAUACGUGGUAGGACAUAAUGUAGAAAACUCUUUAGGUAAGGCGAGAGAAAUUUCAUGACAUUACCCAUGCAACGGUGUUUGGAUAAUUGAGCAAGAAACAUUUUGCAUUGGGCUUCAAAUGUUCUUGUUGAAAAUCGGAGUACCAUAGGCAUGCUUCGAGAUAGCAUUGACAUGGUCAUCAGGUGAAGAUCAGACUUUGGGACCACAAAGGAUCCAUCAGGAAUUUCUAGAACAUAUCAUGCAAUUUUAUCAGGAAAAAGAUGAGGACGUGGCCGAUGGGUCCGGCAGCAAUCCAUUGACAUGUCAAAAAGGAUGUAUUUACAACAUUAUCUAAACAAGUUUGUGUUGGGGGAGGCAAGAAUGUUGUCGAUGAUAACACAAACCAUCAAGGGGCAAGGAUGGUAUUUUCUCAUCAUGAAUUUGAUUGAUAUCCUGGAAGAGCUCAGAAUGUUGAUGAUGAUCACGACACAUUUGUCAUGAGAUUUCAUGAAGAUGUAAUCGAUCGACGAUGACAUCAAGUCAAAGGAAUGAUGAAGCGAAAGGUUAUUGGAACCAUGGGUACGUCACAAACUUGAAAUCAAGCCUGUUAUUCAAGGCGAAAAGAUAUGACAAGAAAGAUCGACGUAAGCUUAGCUCAUCGUCGAAAAUUGUGCUUCGGGAAGAAGAACCAGGUAGCACAGUUAAAAUUUGGCACGAUAAUGAUAUAGCCGAUCAUGCUAGGAAUGACUUGAAGGAUUAUUAAACUCGUAAGCAACGAAAAUUACUUAGAUUUAUUGAAUCGGAGUGCGGAAUCGAUUCACUUAUCAGUGUUCUCGGUUGAUGACAACCCAGAACCCGGGGGAAAUCUGAAAUCGGUGAGAAGCAAUACUAGAUGAAGACUCAUAGGGAGCAACACAGUUCUUUGAUAUUCUCGAGAUACCGGGGGUAAUACUCGACGACAGAUCAAAGUAGAGGUUGGACUGGGGUAUUGCUCUGCAGAAGACAAGUGCUUAAACUUGCACGAGAAAUGGUAUUUAAAGGAGAACAUGGUCGAAACCACGAUUGCAAAAGACCAGAUCCCAGAUAUAAGAUGAACUUAUACCAAAGGAAUAAUUAAUUUAAGAGAAGCUUUAAUGAUAAGAUCUACAUCGUAUCCAUGGGCAUGAACACCAAGUUCAAGGUCGACUCCCACUUCUCCAAUGCAUAACCUUUCAUUCACUUCUCGUAUUUCGAAAAUGACAUUAGUUGUGGAAAGUUUUACCUGGUGCAAUACCAGAUAAGUCUGACCCAUGAAAUCUUUCGGGUUCACAAAGAUUAGGGAAGGCGUUGGUUCAACCCAUCGGGGCAUCUUAGGAACAUAUACCAACAACUUCAUAGUAAACAUCACCAGCUCGAGAGCAGAGUAUGGUUGGCCAAAACAGAUAAUAUGAUUUAUCAAUGGCAUUAUGUAUCAGGGAAAGAACUUCUCAAGAUUUUUGGAUACGAAGGACACUGUCAGAUGAUAAUUCAACAAAGGACCCGAUGGUCCAUAACGGAGCUGAUGUGUGCAUCGGCGCACAACCAUAGGAAGAAUCAAUGCAAAGGCAUUAGAUCAUAGAAACAACUGGCUAAUUCAAAACUCAAAGGCAAAGAAUCAUAAUUUCCAAAUCAAGGGAUCAGAGGCAAACACUCUGAUUAAGGAUGGAUACGUUGAGUAGGCUUAGGGUACAAUCAACGGCAAUUGGAUUGGUUGAGAACCAGCUCACGUUUAAAAUGACGUCUGAGCCGGAAGGAUAAUUUUCAGGGAAUAACUUAUGAUUGUGUGCAUUCACACACAUGUUGAAUCAAUGGACUCAAAAUGAUAGUGACAAAGGAUAGUAAAUGAAUAUUGCUGGUCUUAAGGAACGCAACCAAAAUGCAAGCACACAAUUGCAGAGCAAUAGCGGGCAGAGGAUUACCAAAAGAUCCGAUAACCUCUCAAUGUAUCUUGUGAAUCAUAUGAACAACGAGGGAGGAACGGAUACUCGGUAAGUGUGAGGAAUUAUCCGUAGGGGGUAUUCAUGUGGCAAAGAACUGCAAGGCAGUAAGCUCAAGGAUUCUUAAAAAGUUUGGAGAAUAAUUCGAUGCAUCUUGUAAUAACAAGAGCAACUGGGAAUGAAAGUAAGAUGACAGGUGCAUGUAAUCCUCCAUAGGGAUAACGGUUGUAGGGAAUUGCAAAAGCAACGGGAACAAGGUCUCGAGUGAACACUGGAGAGUAUCUUCCGAAUCUUCUAGUGUAGUUGGCGAUCAUCUGGACUGAAGGGGCUCUCCGGGAGAAAAUAUUAUCGAGAACCUAGAGUCAGAGUUAGUAAAAAUCGUUUAACCCGAAUAGAAGAGAUGUCAGUGUCCCAGAGUAUAGGUGGAGGAAUAAAAGAUCCUACUACCAUCCAAUGGUGACGUGGGCCCGUAAGCCACACAGCCAUGUUAGUAAAAGUUUUAGCAAUGACUAGACUCAACUUCGGCCAAGGAGUUGCAAGGGGGAUUCCUACAGGCAGUCGGCUCAGAUACCAACUUGUGACGCCCCCGAUUCAAUCGUACACUAAUCAUGCACGCAAACGUGUACGAUCAAGAUCAGGGACUCACGGGAAGAUAUCACAACACAACUCUAAAAACAUAAAUAAGUCAUACAAGCAUCAUAAUACAAGCCAGGGGCCUCGAGGGCUUGAAUACAAGUGCUUGAUCAUAGACGAGUCAGCGGAAGCAACAAUAUCUGAGUACAGACAUAAGUUAAACAAGUUUGCCUUAAGAAGGCUAGCACAAACUGGGAUACAGAUCGAAAGAGGCGCAGACCUCCUGCCUGGGAUCCUCCUAAACUACUCCUGGUCGUCGUCAGUGGCCUGCACGUAGUAGUAGGCACCUCCAGUGUAGUAGGAGUCGUCGUUGAUGGUGGCGUCUGGCUCCUGGGCUCCAGCAUCUGGUUGCGACAACCGAGAGGAAAGGAAGGGGGAAAAGCAACCGUGAGUACUCAUCCAAAGUACUCGCAAGCAAGGAUCUACACUACAUAUGCAUGGGUAUCUGUGUAAAGGGGCAAUAUCGGUGGACUGAACUGCAGAAUGCCAGAAUAAGAGGAGGUAGCUAGUCCAGUCGAAGACUACACUUCUGGCAGCCUCCAUCUUGCAGCAUGUAGAAGAGAGUAGAUGGUAAGUUCACCAAGUAGCACCGUAUAGCAUAAUCCUACCCGGCGAUCCCCUCCUCGUCGCCCUGUGAGAGAGUGAUCACCGGCUUGUAUUUGGCACUUGAAAUGGUGUGUUUUAUUAAGUAUCCGGUUCUAGUUGUGAUAAGGUCAAGGUACAACUCCGGGUCGCCUGUUACCGAGGACACGGCUAUUCGAAUAGAUCAACUUCCCUGCAGGGGUGCACCACAUUACCCGACACGCUCGAUCCCUCUGGCCGGGCACACUUUCCUGGGUCAAGUCCGGCCUCGGGAGAUCAACACGUCGCAGCCCUACCUAGGCUCAACAGAGAGGUCAGCACGCCGGUCUAAAUCCUAUGCGCGCAGGGGUCUGGGCCCAUCGCCCAUUGCACACCUGCACGUUGCGAACGCGGCCGGAAGCAGACCUAGCCCCCUUAAUACAAGUGCGAGCUUACGGUCCAAUGCGGCGCGCGCCGCUCAGUCGCUGACGUCAAAAAGAGCUUCGGCUGAUACCACGACGCCGGUUGCCCAUAUCUUGUCCCACGUGGCGGUUAGUGCGUAUAAGGUCAACGACCCAACUCAGAUCAAAUACCAAGAUCUCGUUAAGCGUGUUAUUAUGAAGUAACCGCGGACGCCGACCAGGGCCAGGCCCACCUCUCUCCUAGGUGGUCUCAACCUGCCUUGUCGCUCCGCCACAAAGUAACAGUCGGGGGCCGUCGGGAACCCAGGUCCACCUCUACCGGGCUGGAGCCACCUGCCCCUUCAGCCCCCAUCUCCGAAUAUUAUCAUAAGUAAUGUAACAGUAUAAAGUAUAUAGCAUAUGCCCGUGAUCACCUCCCGAAGUGAUCACGGCCCAGUAGUAUAGCAUGGCAGACGGACAAGAGUGUAGGGCCACUGAUGGAAUACUAGCAUGCUAUACUAAGCAUUUAGGAUUGUAGUUAAGGCUAACAACUGUAGCAACAAUGACAGUCUAUGCAGCAGAAUACGAUUAAACGAAAAUAGUAACAUGCUACACUACUCUAAUGCAAGCACUAGAGAGAAGGAAUAGGCGAUAUCUGGUGAUCAGGGGGGCUUGCCUGGUUGCCCUGGCAAGAAGGAGGGUCGUCAACACCGUAGUCAAUUGGGGUACCAGCAGCAGCGUCAGUCUCGUAGUCUACCGGAGAAAAGAGGGGGAAGAAACAAUAAAUAUAAUGCAAACAUAAGCAUGACGAUGCAUGACAUGACUACGAGCGGUGCUAGGUGUGCCCUAACGCGGUAGGAGGUGAUACCGGUGAAGGGGGAACCAUCCGGGAAAGUAUCCCCGGUGUUUCGCGUUUUUGGACAAAUGAACCGGAGGGGGAAAGUUGCGUGUUUGCUAUGCUAGGGAUGUGUGGCGGACGAACGGGGUGUGUAUCCGGAUUCGUCUCGUCGUUCUGAGCAACUUUCAUGUACAAAGUAUUUUCAUCCGAGUUACGAUUAUUUUUCUACGAUUUUUCGAAGUUUUUAAAUAUUUUCUAGAAUUCCUGGAAUUGUUUAAAUCGAAUUGAAUGCAGAAUGUGCAUUUGUUAGCUAGUGUUACCCUAGCCUAUGUGUAUGACAGUGGGACCCGUGGGGCUGGUCAACCAUUUUACUUUGACUGGUCAAAAGGUGAGGUAUGUCCCACAUGUCAUAGGCAUCUAAAUUAAAUUAGUGUCUAGAUUAGAAUGGGGCCACAUGUCAUAGGCUAUUAGGCUAAUCUAGCACUAAACUGAUACUAACUAAAUAGCAGAAUUAAUCCUAGAACUAAUCUAGCUAAUUAAAUUAGACCUAACUAGUUUGGACCCGUGGCGAAGCCGAGGACGGCCGGAGCAAUGUAGACCGAAGAGAAGCAGUGGCGGCCAGCGAUGAUGAAGAUGGAGUCGAUCGCGAGCGCCGGCGACGACCCAGAGCAAUCUUGCACUGGGAAGAUGAGGACGAAGAAGGCGAGCUCUCCGGUGCAGUCCUAGGCGUCGGGGAGGCGACCGGCCGCGACUGCGUUAGGACGACGGUGAGCGCGGCGGCCGCGGUCUCGGGCGAGGCANNNNNNNNNNNNNNNNNNNNNNNNNNNNNNNNNNNNNNNNNNNNNNNNNNNNNNNNNNNNNNNNNNNNNNNNNNNNNNNNNNNNNNNNNNNNNNNNNNNNNNNNNNNNNNNNNNNNNNNNNNNNNNNNNNNNNNNNNNNNNNNNNNNNNNNNNNNNNNNNNNNNNNNNNNNNNNNNNNNNNNNNNNNNNNNNNNNNNNNNNNNNNNNNNNNNNNNNNNNNNNNNNNNNNNNNNNNNNNNNNNNNNNNNNNNNNNNNNNNNNNNNNNNNNNNNCGGGUGGGGGGGGGGCUCGGUGGCGGCCUUAUCCUCCUGGCGAACGCCGACGAGGGGGUUGGGCGGCGACGAGCGCGUGCGGGCGCUCGGUCGGACGCGCCCGAGGAACAGUGAAGAGGGGCAAGGGGUUUGAGUGGGCCGGCUGGGCCGACUGGACCUGCCCAGCUGCUUAGGCCCAGGUAGAGGGGGCUUUUGUCUUUUCUUUUCUUUUAAAACUUUUAUGUUUUUUUUUUAUUUUCAAAAAGCAAAAUAGUUGUAUAAUAUACUAAGCAUGCACCUAAACUAUAAUUAUAACAUAGGGCACUGCUAUAAUUAACUUGGCACCAAACUAAAGUAGUUUAGUAUUUUUAUAAAGUAACAAGCAUUUAAAUAAUUGUUUUAGCCACUAUUUUAAAUAGUUUAGGGCAUUUAAACACUUUUCAAAAAUGUUGGUUCACCACCAGCAUUAACAAAAUAAUAUUUUCCACAUGAUUAACAUUUAGUUUUAACAUUUGAAAACUUUUAUUGUUUGCUUGAUUUUGAAUUUGAAUUCGAACCGGUUUCGAACUAACACGAGAUUAGCAACAGUAAUCGAGGUGACGUGGCAUCAUUAGCAGAGGUUUACUGUAGCUUGAUUAUCCGGGCAUCACAUGCGCACAAUAAGUCAAUAACCAACCAAUAUACGCUGAUACAAACUAAACUGUUUGUGCGAGCUUUUAUGUAAACAAGUGGCUUAAUGUUGAUCUCCAACUUUUUUUGAAAUUGUGCCCAUAUAGAUUUUUGGAAACACCUUGAGUACACUUCAAAAAUCAUCCAAUCAUUACGUUUUUGCGCAACACCACUUAUCAUGUUGUUUGUUGUGUGAAGAUUUAAGAUUUCAAGCAAUUUGCUGAUAUCGUCCAGUGUGUAUAAGGGGUGAUUUUUUUCUCCCAUUGCAACGCACGGGCAUGUUUGCUAGUAAUAAUAAAGGGGUUAUUGCUUGUUGCGGUACGUCAUAGAAAUUAUCACAAAAAUUGUAAAAUAUCACCCACCAAUGCCACCUAUAACUAUAAAAAAAGUCUCACACAUGGGAAUACCCGCCUGGGCUGCCCCAUGCAGUAGGGACCUCUUAUACUGCGCUUUGCGUGUUGGGAGAAAAUGCAGCGCGUUAGUUUGGGCCGGCGCAUGUCCGCGCGGCCUGUCUUUUAAAUUUGGUUUUUAAUUAUUUUUGUUUUUCCCAUUUUUCGUCUUUUUCCACUUUAAAUAAUUUUGGACUUAAAAAAAUCCCAAACUUCAAAAAAUUAGAAUUUUGCAAAAAAUAUUUAAUAAAUCAUAAAAUGUUUGUGGAUUGAAAAAAAUGUUCUUGAUUUUAUAAAAAAAUGUUUGCUUAUUCAAAAAAUGUUCAAAAUUUUGAAAACAAAUGUUCGGGAAAUGAAAAAAUCAUGAUUUUCUAAAAAGUUCGUGUAUUAAAUAAUGUUAAUGAAACUGAAAAAAAAACCUGCCAAUUCACGAAAUGUUCAUGAAUGGAAAAAUAUCAUAAAAAUUCGACAACUGUUUGUGACUUAAAAUAGUUUAUUCUCUCAUAAAAUGUUCGCUGAUUCAAAAAAUGAUCACGCAUUUUAAAAAAUGUUCGUUAAGUCAAAAAAAAUGAGCAUGAAUUUCAAAAAUUGUUCCACCAAUUUCCAAAACUAUGUUCGUCCAUUCUAGAAAUUUUCGCUGAUUCAAGAAAAUUGUUAAAAGAUUGUUCACAAUUUUAAAAAGUGUUUACAAAAAUUAUUUAAUGUUCUGGAUUUUAGAAAAUGUUCGAAAAUUUGUAAAAAUGUUAAUGAAUUUUAAAAAAAUUCACGGUUUCAAAUAUGUUCAUGAGUUUCAUGAAAUGUUCAUGAUUUCACGAAAUUGAGAGUGAUAGUGUAUCUCGGUGAUGCCGCAAAAUGUGAUCAUGACCAUUGGAGAUGAUGAUUUUUUUUUCUCCCAUUGCAACACACGGGCCUAGUUUAGAAUGAAGAUCCAAGAGCCCAGCUUUAAAUUAACAAAUCCAUCAACUGAUCAAGAUUACAACCAACAAGAACGCCAUCAACAGAGAGCAAGGAAAAAAGAAAAGCCGAAAACUGAAAGAAACAAGGAUAUAAAUAAAACAGCUUACAACACAACCCACUCGACAAGCACUCAAACUAAAAGUAAUGAAGCGUUGCUUGAAGAAGGGGUAGCCCUUUGCACCUGGUCACCGAAGCAGAAGACAAAUGCACUACAAAAGAGCAGCCAACCACCUAAAGAACGGUACCACUGAUGCAUGAUUAAGGACCAUGGAGAUCGUCCACCUUCUUUCUCCCUCACCGAAGAGGGACCCUACCCCCUCGUUUGGGCUUCAAGGACGCCACACCGUCGGGCAAAGGAGUCGUUCACCCUAGACCUACGAAAUGUGUUGUCUUGAGGCCACCAAGGCAGAACAACUGCACAUGACCCCCUUGCCACAGCGGCCAGGCCUCGACAACUACAAUGUUGCCGCCCGCCCAUGACCAAACCAGAAGAGGAUAAGCUGCAGGGGAAACAUACUGAAACCAAAGGAACAUAUGGCUCAAGGAAAACGACAAGCAUCCGAGCAAGUGUUACAACCACUAAGAAGGCUCGGGGACUUGAUGAACCAUCGCGAGGCUGAUGUUGAGGAAGGGAUCCCAUGCAGGAUCGAGGGUGACGAACCACCACGCAAUAGGAGGACGUCCAUGACCGAGCACUAAAACAAAGUAUACCAGAUCAGAACUCGCCGUCUCGACACGAAAGCUGCUUCUCAAACAAAGCUGUCACCUUUCACACAUAGCACCGCUCACAUGCACCCCAUGCUAGACGCACCCCCUCCCCUAGGGAGGUCAUGACGCCACUGCCUUAUGCGAAUGGGAUUGCAGGCUUUCACCUAGGAUCAAAGGAGAAAGGGAACCUCGGCGGUGCCUCAUAGGAGGAGCGCAACUCUUACGGGCGUUGCGACCAUCGUGGUCAGCAAGCCAAGCAGGGAGCCUCUCUUGGCCCCGAUACUGAUACCACAUAGUCCGUCAUACAACCCAACCGGUGACCAGCGACUAGAUUUGCCGAGAAGUGAGCCAGAGGGAAGGUGAGGCACCGACCAUUAAAUCUGAUGCCAGAGACCACCGCCACAACCCAUGAACCAUCCACCACUCGGCGUCGCCUCGUCGGCCCGCAUCAAUAGACACCCUUGCCGCUCAAACAAUGUCGCCUCUCCACCCGAGGCCGCCACCUCGGCACCCAAUGUCCCUCCACCCGAGCAAGGGCGUAGCAGAGACAUCACCACCACCCUCAUCAGCGGCCGCACAGGCAAUCUCAGUGGCUGCCUNNNNNNNNNNNNNNNNNNNNNNNNNNNNNNNNNNNNNNNNNNNNNNNNNNNNNNNNNNNNNNNNNNNNNNNNNNNNNNNNNNNNNNNNNNNNNNNNNNNNNNNNNNNNNNNNNNNNNNNNNNNNNNNNNNNNNNNNNNNNNNNNNNNNNNNNNNNNNNNNNNNNNNNNAGUCACCCUCGAAUCGCCCGCGUGGGGACGAUGCGAGAGCCAGGCAUUUUUUUCCAUUGAACUUCCCACCAUAAAUAGAGCCAGUGUACUUUUUGCAACAAGAAAGACAAGUCAGCAGGACAUCUCAACACCGUGAAGGAGCAUAUGACAUGUUUGUUCACUGAGUCUUGUAACCACUUUAAAACAUUUCAAGAGAUUCUUAUGUGUGACUGAAGUACUCAUCCCGUGAAUUUCAUGACUAGUGUGCGUUUCUAUAAAAAUUGAUACAAGUAACUGAGAUGGGAAGGGCAUACUAAGUAGUAACUACAAUAUAUGAAUACUAGAGACCAAAGAAAUGAUAGGCUAUUUUUUCCAGCUGAAUGUCCUUAUUUCUGCCAGGCAAUGCUCAUGAAUGACAGUAAAAGAAUCGAGAAAAUCAAUUUGAUCCUCUCUUUUAAAUAGCACUCCAACCCUUCUCCACAUUCACUUGUGCCUUCCUCAUGGUCCAUGCGCUGAGCUGUGGCACCCUGACCGUGGCACUUCCAUUGUUGAAUGCGUAAAUGUGGGCCCU